GAAGGCGUAGGAUCGGAGGCGGCUGGAGUUGCUGCUGCUCUGCCGCUUGUCCCUAUCCGGCCGCGGCCCUCCGACAGCCGCUGCGCGAGGGAAAGCCUGACCCAGGGCGGGGGUGGGUGAAUGGGGGCCAGGGAAGCAGAGACGUGGCCAAGGACCCAUGGCGGUUCCCGGCCUCCUUCCUUCCCCGCUUCACAAGAGCGGCCCUGCUCUCACUGUGACUGCAGCUGCCCUGUGAGUCGCUCAUCGCGUGCCGACACCGUGGGCGCAGGCCCCAGGGAGGGCAUGCCAGAGACCCCCACCCCGCCCCAGGAGGGGCCGGUUCCGCCAGCCUCCACCACACUCCCUCCCCCUUCCCUGCUCUGUGGGAAGGAGGCAGCUGGGGCGGGGGUGGCCGCGGGAGCGUCUUGCCCGUGUGAUCGUGCCGAGCGGGGAAUUCGGGGCCAUGUGGGAAAGACAUUAGUGCCGGCCGCCCUGCCAGCCAGGAAUGCGCCCCCCGCUCUGCAGCCGCCGCCUGCCUGGCCCAGAAACGGUGACUCACCCGCUCCGUGUUCCCACCCCCUCAUCAUGCACCCUCCCCUGCCCACCACAGGCCUGGCCCCAGGCUUUCCAGCCUCCCUGUUCUGCUCCUGCGGGUCCUGCUACCUGCCUUGCCCAUCCUCCAUUCUCUGUUUCUUAGAACACUGAACCAGCUCGCACCUCGGCGCAGUCCAACAGUCACAGCCCCCUCCCCCAAGGAGGCCCGUCUAUCCUUGACAAGUGGUUAGAACACUCCUUUGGGACUUAGUUCCCCGGGGCUGUCUUCUUCUCUCCAGAAUGAUCGCCCCCGUCCCGCUACAGGACCAGGCCAGGAGCACAGGGCAGGUGCAGAAAAAAAGGAGUCAAUGAAACCUCUUCAGCGUGAGAAGCAGAGCACCGUGUGGGAAUGCUGUUCCUAGGGCUCUUCCUCUAGGAAACUGAAAUACAGCAAGGCCACCUACCUCAACGGCUGUGUGACCCUGGACCCUUAUUCCCCUGGCCUGAGUCUUGCUUUCUGCAGAAUGGGACGACAGUAUCUACUCCAUGUGCUAAUGGGGAGAGGUAUCUCUAAAGCCCUCAGCUCAGGGCCGGCUGCUGGAAGGGACUCAGUCAUGAUGAUGGUGUUGAUGAUAUCCCUGGUAAUCAAGGCUAUUUAAUGAACACCUACUAUGUACCAGGCCCUAGGUUGGGUACUUUCUUGUUUUUUGUUGAGAUUGAGUCUCACUCUGUUACCCAGGCUAGAGUGCAAUGAUGCGAUCUCAGCUCACUGCAACCUCUGCCUCCCAGGUUCAAGCGAUUCUCCUGUCUCAGCCUCCUGAGUAGCUGGGAUUACAGGCACGUGCUACCAUGCCUGGCUAAUUUUUGUAGAGAUGGGUUUCACCAUGUUGGCCAGGCUGGUCUUGAACUCCUGACCUCAGAUGAUCUACUAGGCUGGGUACUUUCUACAUAUCAUCUCAUCUAGUCUCUGCCUCAGUCCUAUGAGGUAGGUUCUGUUACUAUCCUUCCUGUACAGAUAAGGAAAUACUGAGGUUUGG
Long non-coding RNA from Macaca fascicularis (crab-eating macaque), 1550 nucleotides. The record is from Ensembl. NCBI's taxonomy places the organism in Eukaryota, Metazoa, Chordata, Mammalia, Primates, Cercopithecidae.